RNAcentral lists this transfer RNA (55 nucleotides) under Havaika cruciata. Its description in RNAcentral is "tRNA-Leu". Lineage: Eukaryota; Metazoa; Arthropoda; Arachnida; Araneae; Salticidae. The record is from RNAcentral.
UAAUUAAUUUAUUGGCAGAUAAAUGCAUUAGAAUUAGAAUCUAAUAAAACUUCUA